AGCGAACGCUGGCGGCAGGCUUAACACAUGCAAGUCGAGCGGGCGUAGCAAUACGUCAGCGGCAGACGGGUGAGUAACGCGUGGGAACGUACCUUUUGGUUCGGAACAACACAGGGAAACUUGUGCUAAUACCGGAUAAGCCCUUACGGGGAAAGAUUAUCGCCGAAAGAUCGGCCCGCGUCUGAUUAGCUAGUUGGUGAGGUAACGGCUCACCAAGGCGACGAUCAGUAGCUGGUCNGAGAGGAUGAUCAGCCACAUUGGGACUGAGACACGGCCCAAACUCCUACGGGAGGCAGCAGUGGGGAAGUAUUGGACAAUGGGCGCAAGCCUGAUCCAGCCAUGCCGCGUGAGUGAUGAAGGCCCUAGGGUUGUAAAGCUCUUUUGUGCGGGAAGAUAAUGACGGUACCGCAAGAAUAAG
Molecule: ribosomal RNA, 418 nt
Filed under: uncultured bacterium
Lineage: Bacteria
Description: bacterial SSU rRNA
Rfam family: Bacterial small subunit ribosomal RNA
Source: RNAcentral